RNAcentral lists this ribosomal RNA (296 nucleotides) under uncultured bacterium. RNAcentral describes it as "partial 16S ribosomal RNA". It matches the Rfam family "Bacterial small subunit ribosomal RNA", at positions 333 to 621 of the family's 1533-position model. The record is from RNAcentral.
CUUUCCCUACGGGGCGCAGCAGUAGGGAAUUUUCGUCAAUGGGCGCAAGCCUGAACGAGCAAUGCCGCGUGAACGAGGAAGGUCUUCGGAUCGUAAAGUUCUGUUGGAGGGGAAAAAGAGCGGAGAGAGGAAAUGGUCUCCGAUUGAUAUUACCCUUCGAGGAAGUCACGGCUAACUACGUGCCAGCAGCCGCGGUAAUACGUAGGUGGCGAGCGUUAUCCGGAAUGAUUGGGCGUAAAGGGUGCGUAGGCGGCCUGCUAAGUAUGGAGUGAAAGGUACAGGCUCAACCGGUACAG